UACGGAGGGUGCGAGCGUUAAUCGGAAUUACUGGGCGUAAAGCGUGCGUAGGCGGUGGGGUCAGUCAGCCGUGAAAGCCCUGGGCUUAACCUGGGAACGGCGGUUGAGACGGCCCGACUUGAGUGGGCUAGAGGAUCGUGGAAUUCCGGGUGUAGCGGUGAAAUGCGUAGAGAUCCGGAGGAACACCGAUGGCGAAGGCAGCGGUCUGGGGCCACACUGACGCUGAGGCACGACGGCGUGGGGAGCAAACAGGAUUAGAAACCCGAGUAGUCC
This 273-nucleotide ribosomal RNA is filed under the name uncultured prokaryote. RNAcentral describes it as "partial 16S ribosomal RNA". It matches the Rfam family "Bacterial small subunit ribosomal RNA", at positions 524 to 796 of the family's 1533-position model. The record is from RNAcentral.